ACGCUAGCUACAGGCUUAACACAUGCAAGUCGAGGGGAAACGACAUCGAAAGCUUGCUUUUGAUGGGCGUCGACCGGCGCACGGGUGAGUAACGCGUAUCCAACCUGCCCAUCACUUGGGGAUAACCUUGCGAAAGUAAGACUAAUACCCAAUGAUAUCUCUAGAAGACAUCUGAAAGAGAUUAAAGAUUUAUCGGUGAUGGAUGGGGAUGCGUCUGAUUAGCUUGUUGGCGGGGUAACGGCCCACCAAGGCGACGAUCAGUAGGGGUUCUGAGAGGAAGGUCCCCCACAUUGGAACUGAGACACGGUCCAAACUCCUACGGGAGGCAGCAGUGAGGAAUAUUGGUCAAUGGGCGAGAGCCUGAACCAGCCAAGUAGCGUGCAGGAUGACGGCCCUAUGGGUUGUAAACUGCUUUUAUAAGGGAAUAAAGUGAGUCUCGUGAGACUUUUUGCAUGUACCUUAUGAAUAAGGACCGGCUAAUUCCGUGCCAGCAGCCGCGGUAAUACGGAAGGUCCGGGCGUUAUCCGGAUUUAUUGGGUUUAAAGGGAGCGUCGGCCGGAGAUUAAGCGUGUUGUGAAAUGUAGACGCUCAACGUCUGCACUGCAGCGCGAACUGGUUUCCUUGAGUACGCACAAAGUGGGCGGAAUUCGUGGUGUAGCGGUGAAAUGCUUAGAUAUCACGAAGAACUCCGAUUGCGAAGGCAGCUCACUGGAGCGCAACUGACGCUGAAGCUCGAAAGUGCGGGUAUCGAACAGGAUUAGAUACCCUGGUAGUCCGCACGGUAAACGAUGGAUGCCCGCUGUUGGUCUGAAUAGGUCAGCGGCCAAGCGAAAGCAUUAAGCAUCCCACCUGGGGAGUACGCCGGCAACGGUGAAA
Molecule: ribosomal RNA, 876 nt
Filed under: uncultured bacterium
Lineage: Bacteria
Description: bacterial SSU rRNA
Rfam family: Bacterial small subunit ribosomal RNA
Source: RNAcentral